AGUAGAAUAGGUGAUCGCGGGGACGAUUUAUUCGUCCGUGAGGAAAGUCCGGGCUUCAUAGGGCAGGAUGCCGGAUAACGUCCGGUUGAGGUGACUCACAGGAAAGUGCAACAGAAAGUAUACCGCCCGUUUUACGGGUAAGGGUGAAAUGGCGAGGUAAGAGCUCACCGCCUGGCUGGUAACAGACAGGGCAUUGUAAACCCCAUCCGAAGCAAGACCAAGACGAAGCGUUGACGCUGCCCGCCGAGCUUCAGGUAGGUUGCUUGAGCUGUAUAGCGAUAUACAGUCUAGAUAGAUGAUCACCCUCGACAUAACCCGGCUUAUAGUUCUGCUCGC
RNAcentral lists this RNase P RNA (336 nucleotides) under uncultured Eubacterium sp. RNAcentral describes it as "Bacterial RNase P class A". It matches the Rfam family "Bacterial RNase P class A". Rfam says of the family: Ribonuclease P (RNase P) is a ubiquitous endoribonuclease, found in archaea, bacteria and eukarya as well as chloroplasts and mitochondria. Lineage: Bacteria; Bacillati; Bacillota; Clostridia; Eubacteriales; Eubacteriaceae. The record is from RNAcentral.